GAGUUUGAUCCUGGCUCAGAUUGAACGCUGGCGGCAUGCCUUACACAUGCAAGUCGAACGGCAGCACGGGUGCUUGCACCUGGUGGCGAGUGGCGAACGGGUGAGUAAUACAUCGGAACGUGUCCUGUAGUGGGGGAUAGCCCGGCGAAAGCCGGAUUAAUACCGCAUACGAUCUGAGGAUGAAAGCGGGGGACCUUCGGGCCUCGCGCUAUAGGGUUGGCCGAUGGCUGAUUAGCUAGUUGGUGGGGUAAAGGCCUACCAAGGCGACGAUCAGUAGCUGGUCUGAGAGGACGACCAGCCACACUGGGACUGAGACACGGCCCAGACUCCUACGGGAGGCAGCAGUGGGGAAUUUUGGACAAUGGGCGAAAGCCU
This 375-nucleotide ribosomal RNA is filed under the name uncultured Burkholderia sp. Its description in RNAcentral is "bacterial SSU rRNA". It matches the Rfam family "Bacterial small subunit ribosomal RNA", at positions 9 to 384 of the family's 1533-position model. Lineage: Bacteria; Pseudomonadati; Pseudomonadota; Betaproteobacteria; Burkholderiales; Burkholderiaceae. The record is from RNAcentral.